RNAcentral lists this ribosomal RNA (252 nucleotides) under uncultured bacterium. RNAcentral's name for it is "partial 16S ribosomal RNA". It matches the Rfam family "Bacterial small subunit ribosomal RNA", at positions 524 to 776 of the family's 1533-position model. The record is from RNAcentral.
UACAGAGGGGGCAAGCGUUGUUCGGAAUUACUGGGCGUAAAGGGCGCGUAGGCGCCUUCUAAGUCGAACGUGAAAUCCCCGGGCUCAACCCGGGAACUGCGUCCGAUACUGGAAGGCUUGAAUCCGGGAGAGGGAUGCGGAAUUCCAGGUGUAGCGGUGAAAUGCGUAGGUAUCUGGAGGAACACCGGUGGCGAAGGCGGCAUCCUGGACCGGCAUUGACGCUGAGGCGCGAAAGCCAGGGGAGCAAACGGG